This 254-nucleotide ribosomal RNA is filed under the name uncultured bacterium. RNAcentral describes it as "partial 16S ribosomal RNA". It matches the Rfam family "Bacterial small subunit ribosomal RNA", at positions 524 to 776 of the family's 1533-position model. The record is from RNAcentral.
UACGGGGGGAGCAAGCGUUGUUCGGAUUUACUGGGCGUAAAGGGCGCGUAGGCGGCCACCGCAAGUCGACUGUGAAAUCUCCGGGCUUAACCCGGAAAGGUCAGCCGAUACUGCGGGGCUAGAGUGCAGAAGGGGCAACUGGAAUUCUCGGUGUAGCGGUGAAAUGCGUAGAUAUCAGGAGGAACACCGGUGGCGAAGGCGGGUCUCUGGGCCGAUAUUGACGCUGAGGAGCGAAAGCGUGGGGAGCAAACAGG